This 455-nucleotide ribosomal RNA is filed under the name Huitaca depressa. RNAcentral describes it as "partial 16S ribosomal RNA". It matches the Rfam family "Bacterial large subunit ribosomal RNA", at positions 1831 to 2600 of the family's 2925-position model. The record is from RNAcentral. Lineage: Eukaryota; Metazoa; Arthropoda; Arachnida; Opiliones; Neogoveidae.
UCCUUUAGAUUUAAUUAAAGGUAAGGCCUGCUCCAUGAUAAAUUAAAUAGCUGCAGGUGACUGUACUAAGGUAGCAUAAUCAUUUGUUUUUUUAUUGAAAGCUAGAAUGAAGGGCUUAAUGUAUUACAUCUUAUUCUUUUAUUAAAAUUUGAAAUUUAAAUUUAAGUAAAAAUACUUGAAUAGAAUUUAGGGACGAGAAGACCCUGUAAAGCUUAAAUUGUUUAAGACUUUAUGUGUUUAUAAGCUAUUUUGGUUGGGGAAACAUAAUUAGAAAAAAAUCUUAUUUUAUGAGCCAUAAAUUAUGAUUAAAAGAAAAGUUACUUCAGGGAUAACAGCAUAAUAAAAGUAUUCACGAUCACAUUGAAUAUUUUGUUUGUGACCUCGAUGUUGGAUUAAUGAACCUUUUAGAUGAAGAAGGCUAUAAUGGUUGUCUGUUCGACAAUUAAAUCUUUACA